GGGGCGGGCCGUGACUGGCGCUGAGGUGGAGCACCACCGGGGAGCGGCCCGUACGACAUGAAGCCGUGCGCCUGGGCGAACCCG
Molecule: non-coding RNA, 84 nt
Filed under: Streptomyces sp.
Lineage: Bacteria; Bacillati; Actinomycetota; Actinomycetes; Kitasatosporales; Streptomycetaceae
Description: ZTP sequence
Rfam family: ZMP/ZTP riboswitch aptamer (pfl RNA motif)
About the family: Previously known as pfl RNA. ZMP is also known as AICAR.
Source: RNAcentral